CUCAGGCAUUUCUUUCCCGGUGGUGCUCGGACAGGGAAGGUAUCACCCCCUCCAGUCACACUGGCUUAUCAGCCCGAGGAGAUGGAAAGGGAGCAGCCUGUGGAAUGUCAGGCCCUGCUGGCUGCACGCCCAUAUACAGUUCAGCAACCUCGGCGAGAACAACCCCGGCUGCUGCUGCGGCUGCCACUCGGGUUAUUUCCUCUGGGCUCAGCUGCAGCCUGCAGAGCUCUGCAAAGGGGAGGGGUUUCUUCGCUCCCUCCCUCCCGAGGGGGGUCCUGCCCCAGCCCCAGCCCCAGCGAUGGGACAGGAGUCAGGACCAGCCCCGGGCCGGUUGAAUUGAAAGCAAACCGUGGCAGCUCCACGCAAGGCGAGAGCGCUGGCAGGAUGCCCCGGGCUGGCGCCCCCGCUCCCAGCUGUCAGUGAAGGAGCGAAGCUUUGCGGCCGGGAUGUUCAGCUGGCACAAGAGCUUCACCCUGGGAGCGCCCUGGAGACAAGCAGGCAAGAAGAACUCACCAUCCAAGGGCAAGGUAGUGCUGACCAACAUGAAGAUACUGAGCAACGAAGAGAGUCAAACCCAAGGGUUGACAGGAGAGCCACCUGCAGCCAUGGACUUUCCAGAGGAAUCCAGGCUUCCCAAAGUCGACAUCCCAUUAGAAUGCCAGGGAAAUCUGGGCACAAGAGACACUUCUUCAAAACCAGACUAUGUGGCCACCCUGUCUGACCUCAGCACCUUAGAAUCCAAGUGCCAGCUUCACAGAUUCUCCAAAUUUGAAUCAGAGGAUUCUGGGGUUGAAUUGCCAAGUGGAGCCAAUUCUCCAUCUACACCAACGGGCUCAGAGAAGAGCUUUGUGCUUCACACCAGAGACUCGUCUUGUGACUCUGGAGUGCUCAGCACCUCUUCUUCUCCAGGAAUUGACCAUAUCAUAAUGAGAAAGUGUAAAGACAUCAGAGAAACCAGCCAGUGUGCUUCAGAUAGUGAAAAGCAAGUUGAAUAUUACAGCCAGGCAGCAGACAUGGUGCAGAUCCCUACAGCUUCCCUGGAAGAUUUCAGUGACCGUCAGAAGGGAGAAAGUCCUAAUAAACUUUUUGGCCAAAGUGAAGGACAAUAUUUUGAAGAGAAACCCAGGAAAGAGAUAGACCUUUCCAUUAAAGAAACUGCUCCAGCUGCUGCCCACAUUGAAGAGCAAAGGCCAAUCACCAACCGUUACAAAGAGACCUUUGGGAGGAUGCAAGAACUUCAGCUCCAUGGACAUCAGCUCAAAAAGUAUCCCACGAGCGACAGCCUGGAUGAGUACAUGGAUGAAUGCUGUCGAUUAAGUGAGGUGAACCAAGGGAACACCAAGGCUCUCGGCUCAGGUUUGGGGUAUCUGGAACACAUCUGCCAGCUGAUAGAGAAAAUUGGGCAGCUACAGGAGCACAAUCUGCGACUCCAAAAGCAAGUGUGCGGUUUGCAGAAGGAGCAGAAGAUGAACCAGAUAAAGGAGGAGUAUUUUCUGCAGCACUGUUCCUGUGGAGCUGCCAGCAUCUUGCUCAACUCAUACCAGGAGGUGAAGAAAUUUUUUAUUGGGAGGAGCAGACCGCACAGUCUCUUGGUUCAGAGUGGAAACCAGUCCGACCUUUCGAUCAUCCCAGAAAGAGGAAGUGACACACACCUGGAAUCAGGAGAUAGACAGCUGGUGCUGGGGCUCAGGAAGACCUGGAGUAAAAGGAGCAAUGAGGAGAAUGAACUCAGAGAUGCCUAUAAUCUGACUGAUGGCCGAGCUUUCCUGCUAAAGGACCCAAUUACGAAAAAGAGGGCUGACCUCGGCAAGAGUAUCCCAGGUGAAAGCCACGCUUGGGGCAGAAUGAGGGAUCUCAUGAAGAAGACCAGGCUGAGGAACCAGACCAAGUUGGGGCUGUCAUCGGCAGCUCUGAAGAGGUCCUGCCCACAGCUCUACAGGCCAGAUGUUAAGACUUCGGAUCGGAGGAAGAUGGAGAGGAACUCCAUGAUUGUUCUGGGACAAAGCACAAAAAAUGAAAACAUCUGGCCUUUCUGAGCAUCUGAAUCCAAUGGACCAAGAGGUAAAUGAGCUGGGAAGCUGUUGGACAUGAAAUUGAAAACCACGAGGCUACAUUGUGCAGACUAUGCUCUACAGCAGGAUCAGCAUCAAGGUGCCAGGGAGGGAGGAGAGGUAAAAGAAAGAUUUGCUGAAGGGCGGGGUGCUCAGCUAUAGUAGAGUUUACUCUUGACAUGAAUGUAAAAGUGAACUUAAAACAAUGCUAUAUACCAGGAAUAUAGUUACCAUCUCAGCAAUAAUAAUCAAGCAGGUUUGAUACAAUUUCAUAAACAAGCUACCUUAAGUCCUCCUGCUUGUGAAGUAUUAUUGAUUUCCUGAGCUUUAUUCAGCAGAAAUAGGCUAGACCCUCAUAGAAUACCAGUGCUUUAAGGAAAAACAAAGAUUGGGAGACUACAUAUAGUAGAC
Gopherus agassizii (Agassiz's desert tortoise) is the source of this 2462-nucleotide long non-coding RNA. NCBI's taxonomy places the organism in Eukaryota, Metazoa, Chordata, Testudines, Testudinidae. The record is from Ensembl.